GUCUACGGCCAUACCACCCUGAACGCGCCCGAUCUCGUCUGAUCUCGGAAGCUAAGCAGGGUCGGGCCUGGUUAGUACUUGGAUGGGAGAAAGUAGAUGGUUUUAAAAA
RNAcentral lists this ribosomal RNA (109 nucleotides) under Neogale vison (American mink). The record is from RNAcentral. Lineage: Eukaryota; Metazoa; Chordata; Mammalia; Carnivora; Mustelidae.